UUUCAAACCUUCAGUGGAAUGGGCAGCUGUUACUUUCUGGUCUGCGACCUGUCCUUAUGCUGCCCCUGGAAGCUGAAUUUUUUUCAACCUUGCAAAGAUUGACUAAUCAUUUCUUCCUGAGACAGGAGAAGAAAUGGGAACCCUCCUGUGGCCAAAGCCAGAUCUCAAGGUGAAUGAGGAAGGUCAUCACAGUGCUGGUUCUGAUGAUGGAACUAUUCUCCCCAAAGGUUGCUUACAUUGAAUUGAAGGUACAUUAAACUCGGUUAUAUGUCUUAAUGGGAGAAGAAUCACUGUCAUAAACC
Molecule: long non-coding RNA, 302 nt
Filed under: Phascolarctos cinereus (koala)
Lineage: Eukaryota; Metazoa; Chordata; Mammalia; Diprotodontia; Phascolarctidae
Description: lncRNA (ENSPCIG00000009983.2)
Source: RNAcentral